Molecule: long non-coding RNA, 1556 nt
Organism: Zalophus californianus (California sea lion)
Lineage: Eukaryota; Metazoa; Chordata; Mammalia; Carnivora; Otariidae
Exons: 4
Source: RefSeq, a predicted model, not a curated record
CCAGGCACUCACAAACUUUCUAUACCUCUCAGCUUCCUUAAUAGUAAAUCUCAGAAUAAAGAUGGCCUCUCAGCUUCCUUAAUAGUAAAUCUCAGAAUAAAGAUGGCCCCAGUAAAACACUAGUGGCCAAAUUGAGCCAGACAGGUGGUAGUUUACAUGUGUGUGAGACUCUCAUUUGCGGCUCCCUCCCCUGCUUGAGACCUGUGGGGCUUGACAUCUGGGAGCACUCGGAUGAAGGAAUGGAGAUUUUUGAGAGACUGAGUAAUUUGCCUAAAGUCGUAUAAAAUGAAAAAACAGGAUUCAGACUAAAGUGUGGUGCAGCUCAAAGGAGCCCUGCAGGAUGGACGGAAGACACUAGUGCUCAAGAAGCCAGGAGGCCAGCUGCCUGCAUCCUUCCAGCCAACAUUCACCCCGAGACCCUGCGAGUUUUCUGGAAUCCUGACUCUUCCACCGAGAACCUCUCCGGAGCAGCGCUUCCCGAAGUAUAAUCAGCGGUGUGACAAAGGCUGCUCUUGAUCUGUCACAGCUUUGGUUUUCUCACCCAUGAAACAUGGACAAUGGGAACUAAUAUAGUGAUUUGAGGAUUCAAUGAGAUAAUACUUGGGCUGAGCUGCCAGGAACUAUUGGCUCCCGUUGCUAGCCCCUCUUUAAUGGUCAGAAGAUACAACAGAUCCUUGGGUUCCUGUAACAUCCUUUUCUCCACCCUCUUUUCUACCUAUUUAUCUCCUUUGUUUUAAAAUCCCAUUCAAGCCCCACCUCCUCUCUGAGACUUCUCUGCAAUGUCUGCCUAGCCUUGUGAACUCCUGGGAUUUCUUAGAGCAGAGUGGUCCUGGCUGAGCCAACAUUCAGAAUGAGCAUGUGGGGCUCCUCCGUGUCCUUAGGUGAGUUGCUUUGCAUGGGAGGAGCACCCAGAAGGGGAUCCUUCAGCAGAAAGUUUUAGGUGCUAAGACACCCGUCGGGGGUGGCAGAAGAAAGAGAUGGUGCCAAUAGUGUGUGGGGGGUGGGGGGCAAUCCAGCCCCUUUGGAAAGGGGGAGAAUCCUCCCCACAUCUGUAUUUCUGCAGGGAACCAGGCUGGCUCUAGUAUAGUGAGAGAUGGAGGAAUGCAGCUCUUAGGGGCAGCAUUGGGAAGGCAGAUUUGGGGACACAGGAACACAGGCUCUGGACAGGCAGCCUUGCCCCGGUGGAGACCAGGUGGAUGCCCAGCAGAGCCCAGUGGGAGGGCGGCAAGCCCAGAACUGUUCGUGGAAUGAAAGACAUCCCCAGAGGGUUCUGAGAAAUACCUGGGGAGGAUUUUGAGAGGGUUUUACAUAGACGAAAGGGAUGAUGAGACAGCAGAAUUUAUGACCUCAUUCAUACUCACCAGCUGAUUAUGCUUCUAAAUAAUGCAGACCGCCCCGCUGCAUAACAUCAAUUUACCAAGUAGCGGAUAGAUCCUGUGCAGGGAUGUGGGUGCUUCCUGUUCAAUACGGAUUGCCUAAUACAGCAUUUGAUGUCUGGAGCUCUUUUGCCUUCCAGACUUUGAGCUGCUUACUGUUGCCUAAGAUUCAAAGUAAAA